UCUCCGUUGGUGAACCAGCGGAGGGAUCAUUACUGAGUAUAUCCUACUACUCUCAACCCUUUGCGAACGUACCUGUUCUGUUGCUUCGGCAGGCCGUCCCCUGGGAGGGGCAGCCAGCGCCUGCCGGAGGUCACCAAACUCUUGAUAAUUUAUGGCCUCUCUGAGUCUUCUGUACUGAAUAAGUCAAAACUUUCAACAACGGAUCUCUUGGUUCUG
RNAcentral lists this unclassified non-coding RNA (216 nucleotides) under root metagenome. RNAcentral's name for it is "partial contains small subunit ribosomal RNA, internal transcribed spacer 1, and 5.8S ribosomal RNA". The record is from RNAcentral.